ACACAUGCAGUCGAGGGGUAGAAUUAGCUUGCUAAUUUGAGACCGGCGCACGGGUGCGUAACGCGUAUGCAAUCUGCCUUGUACUGAGGGAUAGCCCAGAGAAAUUUGGAUUAAUACCUCAUAGCAUUAUGAAAUCGCAUGGUUUUAUAAUUAAAGUUCCAACGGUACAAGAUGAGCAUGCGUCCCAUUAGUUAGUUGGUAAGGUAACGGCUUACCAAGACGAUGAUGGGUAGGGGUCCUGAGAGGGAGAUCCCCCACGCUGGUACUGAGACACGGACCAGACUCCUACGGGAGGCAGCAGUGAGGAAUAUUGGUCAAUGGGCGCAAGCCUGAACCAGCCAUGCCGCGUGCAGGAUGACGGUCCUACGG
This 369-nucleotide ribosomal RNA is filed under the name uncultured bacterium. RNAcentral describes it as "bacterial SSU rRNA". It matches the Rfam family "Bacterial small subunit ribosomal RNA", at positions 51 to 422 of the family's 1533-position model. The record is from RNAcentral.